UCUGUGUCCAAUCAGUGACAAAGUUGCAUUUUACAUGUUUAUUAUUUUUUUGUUGACUAGCUAAUUUCCAAUUCUUCGAUAAUCCAUUUGUUUAAAUCCUUACUAAUUCAUUAGUAAUAUUUGUAAAAUUAUAAACAUAUUAUAAAUUAUUAAAAAAAGGACUUUAAAUUUUGUCACGUAAAAAAAAUCAUCACCUUCCAGAGUCAAAAUCGUUCCAUUCUAAUGCGCGUUUAUAAAUCCCUACCCGUGAGUCAUGACGCAAACUGUUCGUACUGGUCAGUUAGCCUCGUCAGCAAAGCCAAGUGCACGUGUCUCCCUCGCUUUUGAAAUUAUAUACAUUCUUCGUGCCUUCAAGAGCCUUUCGUCCAAAUAUUAUUUCAUCACAUUCCGUCGAAUUUGAAAAGUUCAGCGCAAAAUGACGAAGAUGGACCGACUUCACAAAUCUAAAAAAUACACACCAAUUAAAAGGAUCCCUGAACUAUAUGCCAUCCAAAAAUAGAAAGAAAGAACAAGAUAUUUGGCCAGAAAAGCUAAUAAUAAGAUUUGCAGUAUUAAGGAAAUGACUCCCAGAGCACAAAGGUCAGAGAAAAUACAGAAAAUUAUUUAAAAAGGAAAUUAGAAAAGAAAAGUAUUGAGAUGGUACUGGUAGAAAACUCCGCUUCUAGUAUGGCUGAUUCUAUUAUACAGAGAGCAGACCCGUUAAAAAUAAUAGAAGUAACUAAGCAACUAACUAACUCCAAGCAGUAGUAAAGUUCCCCAACAGUCGUGAGCCACAAAUGUAAUAAGACGAAUGCGUUACAACCAUCUUAAGAUCGAUAAGUAACCCUUAUCAGCAGUGUUGAUCGCCAGCUCUCACGAUGUGUAGAACAAUAUUUGAACUUAUAUUCUCGAUCCGUGGAUAUUCAACUAGAAGCAAUAGACUCCAUACCGAUAUUGGCUACCUUAAACGAACUCGAUGAACCACCUACACACGAAUACAAGAAUUUCAAAA
This 991-nucleotide long non-coding RNA is filed under the name Manduca sexta (tobacco hornworm). RNAcentral describes it as "uncharacterized LOC119193755". Lineage: Eukaryota; Metazoa; Arthropoda; Insecta; Lepidoptera; Sphingidae. The record is from RNAcentral.